Molecule: ribosomal RNA, 494 nt
Filed under: uncultured bacterium
Lineage: Bacteria
Description: partial 16S ribosomal RNA
Rfam family: Bacterial small subunit ribosomal RNA
Source: RNAcentral
GACGAACGCUGGCGGCGUGCUUAACACAUGCAAGUCGAACGGAAAGGCCUGCUUUCCCUUGUGGAUUGCGGGUACUCGAGUGGCGAACGGGUGAGUAACACGUGAGUGAUCUGCCCCCAACUUGGGUAUAAGCCUGGGAAACUGGGUCUAAUUCCCGAUAGGACUGCAGGGUGGUGCCUGUGGUGGAAAACGAUUUUCUAGUGGUUGGGGAUGAGCUCGCGGCCUAUCAGCUUGUUGGUGGGGUAAUGGCCUACCAAGGCGGCGACGGGUAGCCGGCCGGAGAGGGUGGACGGCCACAUUGGGACUGGGAUACGGCCCAGACUCCUACGGGAGGCAGCAGUGGGGAAUAUUGCACAAUGGGCGGAAGCCUGAUGCAGCGACGCCGCGUGGAGGAUGACGGCCUUCGGGUUGUAAACUCCUUUCGACCGCGAGGAAGCCACCUGGUUGGAAGGGUGGUGACGGUAGUGGUAGAAGAAGCACCGGCUAACUACGUG